RNAcentral lists this ribosomal RNA (497 nucleotides) under uncultured bacterium. Its description in RNAcentral is "partial 16S ribosomal RNA". It matches the Rfam family "Bacterial small subunit ribosomal RNA", at positions 28 to 507 of the family's 1533-position model. The record is from RNAcentral.
GACGAACGCUGGCGGCGUGCCUAAUACAUGCAAGUAGAACGCUGAAGAGAGGAGCUUGCUCUUCUUGGAUGAGUUGCGAACGGGUGAGUAACGCGUAGGUAACCUGCCUUGUAGCGGGGGAUAACUAUUGGAAACGAUAGCUAAUACCGCAUAACAAUGGAUGACACAUGUCAUUUAUUUGAAAGGGGCAAUUGUUCCACUACAAGAUGGACCUGCGUUGUAUUAGCUAGUAGGUGAGGUAAUGGCUCACCUAGGCGACGAUACAUAGCCGACCUGAGAGGGUGAUCGGCCACACUGGGACUGAGACACGGCCCAGACUCCUACGGGAGGCAGCAGUAGGGAAUCUUCGGCAAUGGGGGCAACCCUGACCGAGCAACGCCGCGUGAGUGAAGAAGGUUUUCGGAUCGUAAAGCUCUGUUGUAAGUCAAGAACGGGUGUGAGAGUGGAAAGUUCACACUGUGACGGUAGCUUAACAGAAAGGGACGGCUAACUACGUG